ACUUUCAGCCAGGAGGAAAGGGUGUGUUUUAAUAGNNNNUAUCUGUGACGUUACUGACAGAAGAAGCACCGGCUAACUCCGUGCCAGCAGCCGCGGUAAUACGGAGGGUGCGAGCGUUAAUCGGAAUUACUGGGCGUAAAGCGCGCGCAGGCGGUUAGUUAAGUGAGAUGUGAAAGCCCCGGGCUCAACCUGGGAACUGCAUUUGAAACUGGNNNACUAGAGUGUNNUAGAGGGUGGUAGAAUUUCAGGUGUAGCGGUGAAAUGCGUAGAGAUCUGAAGGAAUACCGAUGGCGAAGGCAGCCACCUGGACCAACACUGACGCUCNUGNNNGAAAGCGUGGGGAGCAAACAGGAUUAGAUACCCU
RNAcentral lists this ribosomal RNA (364 nucleotides) under Pseudoalteromonas sp. Asnod2G12. Its description in RNAcentral is "partial 16S ribosomal RNA". It matches the Rfam family "Bacterial small subunit ribosomal RNA", at positions 432 to 788 of the family's 1533-position model. Lineage: Bacteria; Pseudomonadati; Pseudomonadota; Gammaproteobacteria; Alteromonadales; Pseudoalteromonadaceae. The record is from RNAcentral.